UUUGCAAAUUUACCAACUUGCUGAGAAUGAGCAAGAGGGUCGAGAUUUUCUUUCCCAAAUCUGGAUCCACGAGAUCUCAGGUGAGAGCCAUCAACGGCUGCAAUUCGACUCGGUCGGUGGUUUCCGGUCCGGGCAAGAAUUCCUCCCCUGCCACGGCGGUGUAUAAAUAUCCCAAAAGGAUUUCUUGGCAUGAUAUGUCUGUGUUUGCCUUUUCUCAUAUUUAUUUUCUGGUUUCACAUUAGGUGGCGCAAAAAAAAAAAAAAAGGAAAAAAAAAAAAAAGAGAAGUCGCUGGUUUUGUUUUCCCCGUCGUCGACCCGACCAAAAGAGGACGGCCAAGAAAGCUCCACCUACCAUCACCAAACAGCCGGCGAACCCGCAGAGAACCCGCCGGUGACGGGACCCCCCCGGCGCAUGAUAACCACCCAAUCGGAUCUCGCCACCUCGGCCCCUCCCUCCACCGCCUCCCCGCCACGUGUCCCUCCCCCUCGCCGUCCCGCUUUUCCGUCGCCGUCAGCCGAACGCGCCCCCUCAUCUCCGUCAACCGUUAAUUGCGCUGAGAAAACCCAACCCCCACACACCUCGACGCGCUCUUCUCUCUCUCUUUCCCCUCUUUCUCUUCUCUUCUCUUUCUCUCUCUUGCUCGCGAGUUACGUUGAUCAAACCUGCGCACCCCCN
This 676-nucleotide long non-coding RNA is filed under the name Eucalyptus grandis. RNAcentral's name for it is "long non-coding RNA (EGRA_LNC006087)". The record is from RNAcentral. Lineage: Eukaryota; Viridiplantae; Streptophyta; Magnoliopsida; Myrtales; Myrtaceae.